CCUACGGGAGGCAGCAGUGAGGAAUAUUGGUCAAUGGACGAGAGUCUGAACCAGCCAAGUAGCGUGAAGGAUGACUGCCCUAUGGGUUGUAAACUUCUUUUAUAAAGGAAUAAAACGAGGCACGUGUGCCUUUUUGCAUGUACUUUAUGAAUAAGGAUCGGCUAACUCCGUGCCAGCAGCCGCGGUAAUACGGAGGAUCCGAGCGUUAUCCGGAUUUAUUGGGUUUAAAGGGAGCGUAGAUGGGUUGUUAAGUCAGGUGUGAAAGUUUGCGGCUCAACCGUGAAAUUGCAAUUGAUACUGGCAGCCUUGAGUACAGUUGAGGCAGGCGGAAUUCGUGGUGUAGCGGUGAAAUGCUUAGAUAUCACGAAGAACCCCGAUUGCGAAGGCAGCUUACUAAACUGUGACUGACAUUGAUGCUCGAAAGUGUGGGUAUCAAACAGGAUUAGAUACCCUUGUAGUC
This 460-nucleotide ribosomal RNA is filed under the name uncultured bacterium. RNAcentral's name for it is "partial 16S ribosomal RNA". It matches the Rfam family "Bacterial small subunit ribosomal RNA", at positions 338 to 795 of the family's 1533-position model. The record is from RNAcentral.